AGGUGCUAGAGACAGAAUAUUCCAAGGACCUCCAGAGCCUUCAGAUCAACUACCUGCGAUCUCUCCAAAGAAGUGAGUCUGCCGGGCCAUGGAACUCUAGAGCAGAACAUCAAGAAACCUGCCACCACGUUGUCAGCUGUAAACAGUUCCCUGUGGAAGGAUGCAACUAUCAAGGCUUCCAAUUUGGGGGAUGACCAUCAAAUGCAAUAAAGUUUUGUAUAAACUA
This is a long non-coding RNA of Salmo salar (Atlantic salmon), 226 nucleotides long. RefSeq lists it as uncharacterized. Lineage: Eukaryota; Metazoa; Chordata; Actinopteri; Salmoniformes; Salmonidae. The record is from RefSeq and is a predicted model, not a curated record.